GACGAACGCUGGCGGCGUGCUUAACACAUGCAAGUCGAACGGAAAGGCCCCUUUGGGGGUACUCGAGUGGCGAACGGGUGAGUAACACGUGAGUAACCUGCCCUUGACUUCGGGAUAACUUCAGGAAACUGGGGCUAAUACCGGCUAGGAAUCCUUGCUGCAUGGUGGGGGUUGGAAAGCUUCGGCGGUUUUGGAUGGACUCGCGGCUUAUCAGCUUGUUGGUGGGGUAGUGGCUUACCAAGGCUUUGACGGGUAGCCGGCCUGAGAGGGCGACCGGCCACAUUGGGACUGAGAUCCGGCCCAGACUCCUACGGGAGGCAGCAGUGGGGAAUAUUGCACAAUGGGCGGAAGCCUGAUGCAGCAACGCCGCGUGCGGGAUGACGGCCUUCGGGUUGUAAACCGCUUUCAGCAGGGGCGAAGCUUGUGGUGACGGUACCUGCAGAAGAAGCACCGGCUAACUACGUG
This 465-nucleotide ribosomal RNA is filed under the name uncultured bacterium. RNAcentral describes it as "partial 16S ribosomal RNA". It matches the Rfam family "Bacterial small subunit ribosomal RNA", at positions 28 to 507 of the family's 1533-position model. The record is from RNAcentral.